AAGUCGUAACAAGGUUUCCGUAGGUGAACCUGCGGAAGGAUCAUUAACACUUUUUCCCUUUCCCUAACCUGGAGCAAAGAGGUCUUUUUUUCUUCUCGGAGAGAAGAAGGUCUCUUUCUUCAGACUUACCCCUUUGUGUGCACUUGUUUGAGAGGGAGAAACAGCCUUUCACGGCUGCGGAUCUCUCUUAACUAUUUUUCCAUUUUCUUUUUUUCUUUUUACCCCUUUUUAAAUGCGAUAGACUGAAAUAAUGACCUAUUGGAAGGGUCUGAAACCUCCAAAAAUUGUAAUACAACUCUUAGCAACGGAUAUCUAGGCUCUC
This 322-nucleotide unclassified non-coding RNA is filed under the name fungal sp. RNAcentral describes it as "partial internal transcribed spacer region". The stretch from base 1 to 46 matches the Rfam family "Eukaryotic small subunit ribosomal RNA", at positions 1786 to 1831 of the family's 1831-position model. The record is from RNAcentral. Lineage: Eukaryota; Fungi.